Molecule: ribosomal RNA, 254 nt
Filed under: uncultured bacterium
Lineage: Bacteria
Description: partial 16S ribosomal RNA
Rfam family: Bacterial small subunit ribosomal RNA
Source: RNAcentral
UACGUAGGGUGCGAGCGUUGUCCGGAAUUAUUGGGCGUAAAGAGCUCGUAGGCGGUCUGUCGCGUCGAUCGUGAAAACUUGGGGCUUAACCCUGAGCUUGCGGUCGAUACGGGCAUGACUGGAGUUCGGCAGGGGAGACUGGAAUUCCUGGUGUAGCGGUGAAAUGCGCAGAUAUCAGGAGGAACACCGGUGGCGAAGGCGGGAUCCUGGGCCAGUACUGACGCUGAGGAGCGAAAGCGUGGGGAGCGAACAGG